CGCAAAGUGAAAUCAACAAGCCACGGUUG
This 29-nucleotide non-coding RNA is filed under the name Homo sapiens (human). The record is from RNAcentral. Lineage: Eukaryota; Metazoa; Chordata; Mammalia; Primates; Hominidae.